GGUAAAGCAAUUCACUGCCUGUGGAGCCUUGAUUCAUCGUGCACUCGCACAAAUUCGGCUGGAAGCACUGCAAGUACUCCAUUUCUUCGCAAGUGCAACAAUUUUCAAUCGGUUUUGUCGGCAACAUUCAAAUCAGAAAACCCUUCAACGUCUAGCUCAUCAUCUUUGCCAUCCUCUUCAUAGUCCUCUUCUCCCUCUGGCUCAUUCUCAUCCAAAGGACCCAAAACAUCCACACCUGCCACACUCUUCCUAAGCAUUUCCUGCACAGCUUCAACACCUUGCUCAGAGAUCUGGUUGCCGUUCAAAUUUAAAUGCUUGAAGUGUUUUUUGUUUCCCACUGCUUGAGCGGCUGCCAAAGCUCCAAUGCGACUAAGUUCAUUCACGCUCAGGUCUAGCUCACGCAGAUUCUCGAGGCCUUCUCCAAUAGCGGUAGAAACCGUUACCACUCCACUGUCCUUCAACUCAUUCUCCAUCAGAUUUAACCUUGUUAGGUG
RNAcentral lists this long non-coding RNA (494 nucleotides) under Physcomitrium patens. RNAcentral describes it as "long non-coding RNA (PPAT_LNC007123)". Lineage: Eukaryota; Viridiplantae; Streptophyta; Bryopsida; Funariales; Funariaceae. The record is from RNAcentral.